AUUUAACGGGGCUAAACCUGACACCGAAGCUUAGGCAAUACAGUAAUGUAUUGGGUAGGGGAGCGUUGUAUAUGCGGAGAAACAGUAGCGCAAGCGGCUGUGGAGUGUAUAGAAGUGAGAAUGCCGGAAUGAGUAGCGCGAAUGCAGUGAGAAUCUGCAUGGCCGAAAGCCUCAGGUUUCUGGAGGAAGGUUCGUCCGCUCCAGGUUAGUCGGGAGCUAAGGUGAGGCCGGAAGGCGUAGCCGAUGCACAGACGGUAGAGAUUCCGUCACCGCCAAAAGAGUUAAGCACAGGGACACAUAUGAAGUCUCAGAGCCGGGUGUUGGUUCCGGUAGAGAUCGAGGGAAGUUAGUACCGAAGUCUGAGAUGGAAGAUGGCGAGAAAAGCUGUGUGUAUUUCUGAGGUGCCCGUACCGCAAACCGACACAGGUAGGUAGGAAGAAGAUUCUAAGGCCAACGGGAGAAGGGUUGUUAAGGAACUCGGCAAAUUGACCCCGUAACUUCGGGAGAAGGGGUGCUCCAGAGAUGGAGCCGCAGAGAAUCGGCCCAAGCAACUGUUUACCAAAAACACAGGUUUGUGCUAAAUCGAAAGAUGACGUAUACGAGCUGACGCCUGCCCGGUGCUGGAAGGUUAAGAGGAGAUGUGCAAGCAUUGAAUCGAAGCCCCAGUGAACGGCGGCCGUAACUAUAACGGUCCUAAGGUAGCGAAAUUCCUUGUCAGGUAAGUUCUGACCCGCAUGAAAGGCGUAAUGAUUUGGGCACUGUCUCAACAGCCCGCCCGGCGAAAUUGUAGUACCGGUGAAGAUGCCGGUUACCCGCGACAAGACGGAAAGACCCCAUGGAGCUUUACUGUAGCCUAAUAUUGGGUUUCGAUGUUGCAUGCACAGGAUAGAUGGGACUCUGGGAAACCAAGGCUUUGGCUUUGGCGGAGAGGCCGUUGGGAUACCAUCCUUGCGAUAUUGGAAUUCUAACCUGCGGCUCUGAAUCGAGUCGGGGGACAUUGUUAGGUGGGCAGUUUGACUGGGGCGGUCGCCUCCUAAAGAGUAACGGAGGCGUUCAAAGGUUCGCUCAGCUUGAACGGAAAUCAAGCAAAAGAGUGCAAACGCAGAAGCGAGCCUAACUGCGAGACUGACGGGUCGAGCAGUAACGAAAGUUGGAGUUAGUGAUCCGGUGGUAUGUGAGUGGAAAUGCCAUCGCUCAACGGAUAAAAGUUACCCUGGGGAUAACAGGCUGAUCUCCCCCAAGAGUCCACAUCGACGGGGAGGUUU
This 1265-nucleotide ribosomal RNA is filed under the name human gut metagenome. RNAcentral describes it as "bacterial LSU rRNA". It matches the Rfam family "Bacterial large subunit ribosomal RNA", at positions 1170 to 2519 of the family's 2925-position model. The record is from RNAcentral.